Long non-coding RNA from Sparus aurata (gilthead seabream), 2215 nucleotides. NCBI's taxonomy places the organism in Eukaryota, Metazoa, Chordata, Actinopteri, Spariformes, Sparidae. The record is from Ensembl.
GGCGGAAGAGAAGGCUGCCAGCUGCCAAUGACUGCACCAGUAGAUCUUUUGGAACCUGUUGCGGCAGGUUUUUUGUGUCUGUAUAUCUUAUUCCUGGGCUGGCCUAGGCAAGAGCCAGAGACACACACAUACAGGCGCACGCACGCAAGCACACGCACGCAUGCACGCACGCACGCACGCACGCACGCACGCACACAAACAGAGACUGAGGAUGAUAUUCAGAGCUGCCAAAAUCUAAAACCAGCCCAUCAACCAUUUCCAUACAACAUAUUUAGAGAGCCAAUCUAAUAGAAGUGGCUCAGUGUCAGAGUGUAUGGGCCACGAGGAGUGCAGAUUCACAAGGGACGUGAGCUCAGAUGCUUCAGGUCCGAGGUCUGAGAAAAUCCAGGCUACAAAUCCACAAAGAAGAGAGGGGGCAGCAAUUGAUUGGAGCAGAUUUUGGUGCAGAAUGUCAGACUCCCAGCAAUUUUACCCAGGCAGCAGCAGCAGCAGCAGCAGCAGGUCUCAAACAUCAAUCCCUCAGGCCGGUCUACACACCUGCGAACCCUGUGGGACCUCCUGCCAGCAGAUGGCAGAAUCACAGGCAGAUGAAGGCAGGGAUGUCUGCUUCACCCAGCAUGAGAGCAACACGUUCAGCAUGAGGACCGCAGCUGUGAUCAAGAGGUACAGUGAUGAUGAGAACCUUUGUUCAGGGUCAGAAACAGCACCAGGACGAGGCCCCAGUGACUCUGACCCUUUCCAUUCGUACCAGCGACAGUUCAGUGAUGGGGCAGUGGCGGCUGCAGGUCAUCUCCAACAGUGCUCGUCGUCCCUCAGCUGUCUGCAGGAGACACACAGCCCUGACAAUGGUUCACACAGCUUCACUGGCGGAGCAACGACAUCCUGGGACCAGUACAACUGCAGCUUUCAGGUUGCUAUACUCAUGGUACACCGAUUUAAUCCCCAUCAAACAGUUCAGUAAUGCUUUGGGCAUGUAGGUGCUGAGGUGCACGACAAAACAUUUGGGUCAAUGAGAACAUAUGAAAAAUCUCUCUAAUUUAAGUUCAAUUGAAUAUUACUUGCAAAAAUAAACGUUUGAGGUAGUGUAUUAUAUUUUAUUUACAGUUGGCUUGCAACUGAGACUAGCCGCUGAACGCAGUAAAGCAUUCAGCUACUAAUUCUGUAGUGCUGUAGGCUAUAGUAUUGUAGGCUACUGUACAUGUUUCACUUUUCUUGCAGGCAUUUCACCUCUCAACCGUGAGGCUUUGCCAGUUCUAACUAACUGGAGGGGAGUCGCAGGCUUUUAAACUGUGUGUGGGAGUGUCCUCACAGAUUUGUUAAGUUCAACAAUUUGAUCAUCUUGGCUAGAGAAGACUGAUGGUUUGAAGGGAGUAAAAUCAUCCAUCUUUGUCAAAUUGGAAUGACCAUCUUUGAACAGAGGCAGUGGCCUACGAUACACACCUACCUACAGUGCAGUACUGAGUUGUCACCCCAGACUGCUUAACAGCCAUUCACACCUUGGCUCACCUAGCCCUAGCAACCCAACAUGAAGGCCGGUUGGGUCAACGACCAGUGACCCUAACCUCUCUGAAAGUCAGAACUCACACGUGUCCUUAACGACUCUGUAAGGACACUCCCACACAGAGUUUAAAGUCCUGCAACUCCCCUCCAGUUAGUUAGAACUGAAGAAGCCUCUUGGAUGAGAGGUGUAACAAACGUCUUCUAUAAACUGAAACAAGUCCAGUCACCUACGAUAGAGCACUUAGAAAUACCAUGACCCGGAUGACUGAGAACUUUCAUUUACAUUCAGCAGCUAAAAGAUUUAGCCUGAAUCAUCAAGUGGACAGACAGACGACUCCAAAUUAAUGAUUAUGUUGCUCUGAAACUGCAAAUUUUUAGAUGUAUAAAUAGACAACUGCUGGCUAAAUGAUAUGCCCAAUGAACUGUGUGAAAUUAUGCCAAGGAGUCAAGAUUAGGCCCAAAUUUGAUUAAUCACAUAAAAACAUUGUAGUCUAAAUUGUUUCUUUUGAACGAUUUCUUUUUGCCUCCUCAUAUUUAGAGUUCGAACACAGAACCACCGACUGUGCCAGCAGAGCCCUCCUGCUUUCUGUCUCAAAGCUACCAAUCCUACGGCUCAUCGCGCCCUCUACAGCAGGUUAGUGUGUUUGUGUGGCUAAACCGAAGGAUAUGAUGUUUGUGUUACACAAUAUUUAUGAGCAACAGGUACUGAGCUGCU